GCGAGAGUGGCGAAAUUGGCAGACGCGCUGGAUUUAGGAUCCUGUGCCUUAAACGGCGUGGGGGUUCGACUCCCCCCUCUCGCA
This 84-nucleotide transfer RNA is filed under the name Planctomycetaceae bacterium. RNAcentral's name for it is "tRNA-Leu". It matches the Rfam family "tRNA". Rfam says of the family: Transfer RNA (tRNA) molecules are approximately 80 nucleotides in length. Their secondary structure includes four short double-helical elements and three loops (D, anti-codon, and T loops). Lineage: Bacteria; Pseudomonadati; Planctomycetota; Planctomycetia; Planctomycetales; Planctomycetaceae. The record is from RNAcentral.